This is an RNA transcript of Peromyscus eremicus (cactus mouse), 2878 nucleotides long. It is a transcript of the gene named ring finger protein 19B, with no coding region annotated. The transcript has 12 exons. The record is from RefSeq and is a predicted model, not a curated record. Lineage: Eukaryota; Metazoa; Chordata; Mammalia; Rodentia; Cricetidae.
GCUGAGGCGGGAGCUGCGGCGGCGCUGGGCGCCGCUGGCCCCUCAGCCUCUGCCGGCCAUGGGCUCCGAGAAGGACUCCGAGUCGCCGCGCUCCACCUCGCUCCAUGCGGCCGCCCCCGACCCUAAGUGCCGCAGCGGCGGCCGGCGCCGGCGCCUCACCUUCCAUAGCGUCUUCUCUGCCUCGGCCCGCGGUCGCCGCGCCCGGACCAAGCCGCAGGCCGAGCCGCCGCCCCCGGCCGCUCCGCCGCCUCCCGCCCCGGCCCCGGCUGAGGCCCAGGCCCCGCCGAUGGAAGCGCUGCCCGCCGAGCCCGCUGUCGAGGCUGAGGCGGAGGCCGCGGCUGCGGGGCCGGAGGAGGACGAGGCGGCCGAGGGCGGCGGCUCGGAGGAGGUGGAGUGCCCGCUGUGCCUGGUGCGCCUGCCGCCCGAGCGGGCCCCGCGCCUCCUCAGCUGCCCGCAUCGCUCGUGCCGGGACUGCCUCCGCCACUACCUGCGCCUGGAGAUCAGCGAGAGCCGCGUGCCCAUCAGCUGCCCCGAGUGCAGCGAGCGGCUCAACCCACACGACAUCCGUCUGCUGCUGGCCGACCCGCCGCUCAUGCACAAGUACGAAGAGUUCAUGCUGCGCCGGUACCUGGCCUCGGACCCUGACUGCCGCUGGUGUCCCGCCCCUGACUGCGGUUAUGCUGUUAUUGCCUAUGGCUGUGCCAGCUGCCCAAAGCUAACCUGUGAGAGGGAAGGCUGCCAGACUGAGUUCUGUUACCACUGCAAGCAGAUAUGGCAUCCAAACCAGACCUGCGAUAUGGCCCGUCAGCAGAGGGCUCAGACUUUACGAGUUCGGACCAAGCACACUUCAGGUCUCAGCUAUGGGCAAGAAUCUGGACCAGUAGAUGACAUCAAGCCAUGCCCACGAUGUAGUGCUUACAUUAUCAAGAUGAAUGAUGGAAGCUGUAAUCACAUGACCUGUGCAGUGUGUGGCUGUGAAUUCUGCUGGCUUUGCAUGAAAGAGAUCUCCGACUUGCAUUACCUCAGCCCCUCUGGCUGUACAUUCUGGGGCAAGAAGCCAUGGAGCCGGAAGAAGAAGAUUCUUUGGCAGUUGGGCACAUUGAUCGGUGCUCCGGUGGGGAUCUCGCUCAUUGCUGGCAUUGCGAUUCCUGCCAUGGUCAUUGGCAUUCCUGUUUACGUUGGGAGGAAGAUUCACAGCAGAUAUGAGGGAAGGAAAACCUCCAAACACAAGAGGAACUUGGCCAUCACAGGAGGAGUGACCUUGUCAGUCAUCGCGUCCCCAGUGAUCGCUGCUGUUAGUGUUGGUAUUGGUGUCCCUAUUAUGCUGGCGUAUGUUUAUGGGGUUGUACCCAUUUCUCUCUGUCGUGGAGGUGGCUGUGGGGUUAGCACAGCCAAUGGAAAGGGGGUGAAAAUUGAGUUUGAUGAAGAUGAUGGUCCAAUCACAGUGGCAGAUGCCUGGCGGGCCCUCAAGAACCCCAGCAUAGGGGAAAGCAGCAUUGAAGGCCUGACUAGUGUGCUGAGCACCAGUGGGAGCCCUACAGAUGGACUCAGUGUUAUGCAAGGCCCUUAUAGUGAAACAGCCAGCUUUGCUGCCCUUUCUGGGGGUACACUGAGUGGUGGUAUUCUCUCCAGCGGCAAGGGAAAAUACAGCAGGUUAGAAGUCCAAGCCGAUGUCCAAAAGGAAGUUUUCCCCAAAGACACAGCCAGUCUCGGUGCAAUUAGUGACAACGCGAGCACUCGUGCUAUGGCCGGCUCCAUAAUCAGUUCCUACAACCCACAGGACAGAGAGUGCAACAAUAUGGAAAUCCAAGUGGACAUUGAAGCCAAACCAAGUCACUAUCAGUUGGUGAGUGGAAGCAGCACAGAGGACUCGCUCCACGUCCAUGCUCAGAUGGCAGAGAAUGAGGAGGAGGGUCCUGCUGGCGGUGGGGGUGCUGGCGGCGGGGGCGGUGGUGGCAGUGAAGAGGAUCCUUCUUGCAAACACCAAAACUGUGAACAGAAAGACUGCCUGGCCAGCAAAGCUUGGGACAUCAGCCUAGCCCAGCCUGAAAGCAUCCGCAGUGACCUAGAAAGCUCGGACACGCAGUCAGAUGACGUGCCAGACAUCACUUCAGAUGAGUGCGGCUCCCCCCGUUCCCACGCUGCAGCCUGCCCCUCGACCCCCAGAGCCCAAGGUGCACCGAGCCCAAGUGCCCACAGGCAGCUCGCUGCUCCAGCUGAGGGCCAGACUGUCUGGAAGCCGGAAGAGGAUGAAGUGGAGUGAAGGCUCCGGCCCUGAGAAGCACACUUGUUGACCUUGUGCAUGCUGUGCAGGUGCUCUACCGUGAGCUCCAUCCCAGCCCCAGGAGCAGAGCCUUGCUGGAGGAAGAGAUGUGACUGCCCGAUCACCAGGCAAUAGCAUAGGUGUUGGCUGUGAUCUCAGGAAUGAAAGCUCAUACAAAGAACUGCAGGGAAAGUGGUCAAGAGACUCGAUGCAAGGUUCAAGAUCAGGCAGCAGUGACCUUUGUGACCAGGUGCACCUGCUGGCCUGUGCAGUAAAGGAUGAGGCAUCCAGACGACAGACAGACAGACAGACAGCCGCUGUGGAAGACCGAACCUCUCAGGCACUGCCACCUGGGAACAGGAAAUGCUAAUGGACUGUGCAUCUCAGUGAGAAAGUGUCCUAGAGAGUGUCCCUGUGUGACUAAAGGAACCUGUGGGGAAAGGCAGGCAGUUUGGAGACCCCUGAGAUGCAAAUGAUCCACUCAGGAUUUGCAGUUCUUCUGAAGCAUCAUCAAGAAACACUUAACUGGGAUAAAGCCAAAGGCAUCUGUCAGAGUGUGCGCUCUAGAGCCAAACCUGUAGUCUACCUGGGCAGACCUAAUGCUAUGGAACUGGA